CCUGAGAUGAGGAAGACCUGAGCUGAGAUCAACAGUCAGAUGCUUAACCAACUCAGCCACCCAGGCGCCCCUGCAGUCAUUUUAUUGUACAGACAGCAUUGCAUUGAAUCACCUUAUUCAUAUGUCCUGCUUGUGUAGGUAAAACUGGAGGCACUUGCAACAUUUAAUUAAAAGAUACUGUUCUGCCUUGGUGAGCUCCUAAUCCAGCAAUGGAGAAAUGAUAUUGAUAAUGUGCAAGAAAGGCACUCAGAUUCCCAUUUUUUCAUCCUGAAAGCAGAAGAUGAAACUCUUAGGUGAGAACUGCGCUUCCAGUGCCGAGAGGAAAGAAACAGCACCAGAGAAGCACUUGAGUCUGGAAGAAUUUGCACAUGGAGACCUUGUUAAAGCCCUGCCCACCAGAGACCCUAAGGAGGUAGAGGUGAAAUUUUUGCCUGCCCUACGUUAACAACAGCCACCAGUGGCCAUUCUGAUCCUGGUUCCAAAAAACAACCCUCCCCCAAAGUAGACU
Molecule: non-coding RNA, 508 nt
Organism: Leptonychotes weddellii (Weddell seal)
Lineage: Eukaryota; Metazoa; Chordata; Mammalia; Carnivora; Phocidae
Source: RefSeq, a predicted model, not a curated record